Molecule: ribosomal RNA, 497 nt
Filed under: uncultured bacterium
Lineage: Bacteria
Description: partial 16S ribosomal RNA
Rfam family: Bacterial small subunit ribosomal RNA
Source: RNAcentral
GAUGAACGCUGGCGGCGUGCCUAAUACAUGCAAGUCGAGCGAACAGACGAGGAGCUUGCUCCUCUGAUGUUAGCGGCGGACGGGUGAGUAACACGUGGAUAACCUACCUAUAAGACUGGGAUAACUUCGGGAAACCGGAGCUAAUACCGGAUAAUAUAUUGAACCGCAUGGUUCAAUAGUGAAAGACGGUUUUGCUGUCACUUAUAGAUGUAUCCGCGCCGCAUUAGCUAGUUGGUAAGGUAACGGCUUACCAAGGCAACGAUGCGUAGCCGACCUGAGAGGGUGAUCGGCCACACUGGAACUGAGACACGGUCCAGACUCCUACGGGAGGCAGCAGUAGGGAAUCUUCCGCAAUGGGCGAAAGCCUGACGGAGCAACGCCGCGUGAGUGAUGAAGGUCUUCGGAUCGUAAAACUCUGUUAUUAGGGAAGAACAAAUGUGUAAGUAACUAUGCACGUCUUGACGGUACCUAAUCAGAAAGCCACGGCUAACUACGUG